AGUAGGAGAGAAUUACAUUUAAACUGCAUUUCCUAGUGAAAAUAGACUGAGAGUUUAACUAUCAUCUGUGGAGAGUCUGUGAGAGGAUUAAGAGAUGGUAGAGAAUAGGACUAAGAAAGUUAAAUGUCAUCUGUUAAGAGGCUGUGAGAGUCCUCUGUCAUUGUGAAAGAACCACAUUUAACCCUUAUUUUGUGAAGAGACAUUUUGAAGAGAAUUACCAUCCUGAGAAAACUAUAAAUUCCCAGAAUGAGGAGGAAUCAUUGUCAGCGUUGGUGGGAAAUAUCCCAUCAGGUCCCUGUCUAUGGUAGAAUAUACUUGUAAUCUCAGAUACCAGAAAGGAUCAGGCGGGCAGAUCUUUUGAGUUCAGUUCUGAGCUACAGUGUGCUCUGCAGAUCAGGUAUCUGUACUGAGUGUGGUACCAGUAGAGGGAUGCCUUGGGAGUGAGAGGAAGGGAUCGCCACUUUGCCAAAAGAAGGGUGAAUCAGCCCACAUUGGAAAAGGAGCAUGGCAAGCUCCCAUGCUGAUAUGUAGCAGGAUAGAGCUAAUGUCAGUGCAAGGGUCAAGAAGAGGGAAGAAAAGGGAGGGGAGGAGAGGAGAGAUUCCAUCUGUGUCUCUUUCUCAUGGUUUCGAAGAACAAAGAAUUGCCUACUGACAUUGAGCCAUAAGAAAUGACAAAUAGGAAAAGUAUCAACGAGAGAAGAUAUAUGAACCACUGUAGAAGGAAGAUAGCUGAGGUGGCUUAACAAUAUACACAUGGACUACAGAAACCAACUGGUGUUGAAAAGCUUUCUCAAAGAUUUACCCAGGCCAAGAUCUAACCAGACAGCAAAAGAAAUCCUAAGUUUAGGCUAAUGGGAAGAUUCCUACUCAAGCUUGAAAAAUUAUUGAUUCUCCCUUUCAUCAGACAGGUGGUAUGGAAAUUGGUAAGUCUCUUUGACCAAGAUUUGAGUGAGCCAGUUCAAUACCCCAAGACUCUCAUUGUAAUAUAGCCCAGCCACUCAUUGUGAUAUUCAUUGUCUCAUUGAUUGUUACCAAGCAGAAUUGAUUGCCACCCUUGGGAACACUUGCUCUUCCAAGAGUAUACAAACUGUGAGCCCACCACCCAUGAGGGGUCUUUGGCACU
Molecule: long non-coding RNA, 1123 nt
Organism: Phascolarctos cinereus (koala)
Lineage: Eukaryota; Metazoa; Chordata; Mammalia; Diprotodontia; Phascolarctidae
Source: RefSeq, a predicted model, not a curated record